This is a non-coding RNA of Tricholoma furcatifolium, 93 nucleotides long. NCBI's taxonomy places the organism in Eukaryota, Fungi, Basidiomycota, Agaricomycetes, Agaricales, Tricholomataceae. The record is from the annotation of a GenBank genome assembly.
UCUUUGCUAGUAUAUCGGUUAGUACACGCGCCUGUCAUUUCUGCAGAUUUGCAAGGUGCGCGCGAAAGCUGGGUUCGACUCCCAGGCAAAGAG